AGCAGCCGCCGCGGUAAUACGAAGGGUGCAAGCGUUAAUCGGAAUUACUGGGCGUAAAGCGUGCGUAGGCGGUUUGUUAAGUCUGUUGUGAAAUCCCCGGGCUCAACCUGUGAAUGGCAAUGGAUACUAGCAAGCUAGAGUGUGUCAGAGGAUGGUGGAAUUCCCGGUGUAGCGGUGAAAUGCGUAGAGAUCGGGAGGAACAUCAGUGGCGAAGGCGGCCAUCUGGGACAACACUGACGCUGAGGCACGAAAGCGUGGGGAGCAAACAGGAUUAGAUACCCCAGUAGUCCCUGUCUCUUAUAC
Molecule: ribosomal RNA, 303 nt
Filed under: uncultured bacterium
Lineage: Bacteria
Description: partial 16S ribosomal RNA
Rfam family: Bacterial small subunit ribosomal RNA
Source: RNAcentral